GGGGAAUCUUCCGCAAUGGGCGAAAGCCUGACGGAGCAACGCCGCGUGAGUGAAGACGGCCUUCGGGUUGUAAAGCUCUGUUAUACGGGACGAAUAAUCUUGUGGUUAAUACCCAUAAGAAGUGACGGUACCGUAAGAGAAAGCCACGGCUAACUACGUGCCAGCAGCCGCGGUAAUACGUAGGUGGUAAGCGUUGUCCGGAAUUAUUGGGCGUAAAGGGCGCGCAGGCGGCUUCUUAAGUCUGUCUUAAAAGUGCGGGGCUUAACCCCGUGAUGGGAUGGAAACUGGGAAGCUCAGAGUAUCGGAGAGGAAAGCGGAAUUCCUAGUGUAGCGGUGAAAUGCGUAGAUAUUAGGAGGAACACCAGUGGCGAAAGCGGCUUUCUGGACGAAAACUGACGCUGAGGCGCGAAGGCCAGGGGAGCGAACGGGAUUAGAUACCCCGGUAGUCCUGGCCGUAAACGAUGGGUACUAGGUGUAGGAGGUAUCGACCCCUUCUGUGCCGGAGUUAACGCAAUAAGUACCCCGCCUGGGGAGUACGGCCGCAAGGUUG
This 550-nucleotide ribosomal RNA is filed under the name uncultured bacterium. RNAcentral's name for it is "bacterial SSU rRNA". It matches the Rfam family "Bacterial small subunit ribosomal RNA", at positions 356 to 896 of the family's 1533-position model. The record is from RNAcentral.